RNAcentral lists this long non-coding RNA (887 nucleotides) under Mytilus galloprovincialis (Mediterranean mussel). Lineage: Eukaryota; Metazoa; Mollusca; Bivalvia; Mytilida; Mytilidae. The record is from RNAcentral.
AUAAAGAUUAACCAUACAGUGUCUCGAAAUAUCAAUCUGUUAUUUGUACUCGGCUCGAAACGGGCAGAAAUGCUCAGCACAGCCUCGCUUUCUACCUGUUUCUAAGUCUUGUACAAAUAACAUUGAUAUUUCGAGACAAUGUAUGGUUAUUAUAUUUAUAUCACCCUUGUUUGAAAUUUGAUAUUAUAUUGAUACACAGAGUCGGGGUUGCCAUGGUUACCAUACAUCAUCAAAUAAGGCUUCUACAAGAGUACUUCAAUUAGUGAAAUUACCGUUUGCUUUGCAUAUAAAUAAACUCAUCAUAGAUACCAGGACUAAAUUUAGUAUAUAUGCCAGACGCGCGUUUCGUCUGCAAAUUACUCAUCAGUGACGCUCAUAUCCAAAAAAGUUAAAAAUGCCGGAAAAAAAAAGCAGGACCGGAUAGAUUAUAAAAUUAAAAGGCAGGACAGAGAUAACAACUAAAAAAAUAUGCAGGACAACAUUUUUCAUCCUAGCCCUCCAUAAAAAUCAAAUGGUAGCUCCCUGAAAACCAAAAUUCCUAAAAGUUUUGUCAAAUACAGCUAAGGUAAUAUAUGCCUGAGGUAGAAAAUCCAGAGUAUUUAAAAAAAUUCAAAAUGUGUGGACAGGAAAUUUAUAAAUAUUACCAUAUCAAUGACAAAUCAUGUCAGCACAGUGCUGACUACAGCCUGUACCCUUGGGGAAAUAAAUCUCCAACAGCAGUGGCAUCGAACCAGUGGUUGUAAAUAAACUCAUCAUAUAUACCAGGACUAAAUUUAGUAUAUACGCCAGACGCGUGUUUCUUCUGCAAAAGACUUAUCAGUGUCGCUCGAAUCCGAAAAAGUUAAAAAGUCUAAAAAUAGUAUGAAGUUGAAGAGCAUAGAGAACCA